RNAcentral lists this small RNA (29 nucleotides) under Bombyx mori (domestic silkworm). RNAcentral's name for it is "ovarian small RNA-30118". Lineage: Eukaryota; Metazoa; Arthropoda; Insecta; Lepidoptera; Bombycidae. The record is from RNAcentral.
UCUUCCUAGUACUCGCCGUUGCGUGGAUC